AGGUCUUAGGAAUUAAUAUGAGGCUGAUGGUUGUCCUUUGAGGUCCAUAUUUGGAGACAAAUGGCACUAUUCAUUGUCCAGUGUGAAUGAUGACACUGGAGAUGAAUGUGCUAUGUAUAAUAAUGACCAGCAUCUGUGAUUCAUGGAUUAGUUUGGCAAAACCGGUAAAUGUGGCAUGGAAACUUACAAGGUGAAGGAACAGCUUUGCCAGUCUUAUGGUUGUAUGGUAGAACUUCAGAGUAAUACAGAAGGAGUUUCUGAAGAUCUCUUUCCAUUGAGAGGGGAGAGGACAUGAAAAGAGAUGUUUCAACAUUUAUUGAUGGAAUGAAGGAAUUUUUUUUCCCUCAUUUCCCUGAAUUUGACAUACAUGGGGGAGUUCUGCAGAAGAUUUGGCAGAGGUGUUUUCAGGAAGUCAGACUGAAUGCAUUUGAAAGCAGUUUUGUAAGUUUAUCAACAAACAGGCAGAUGUUUUCUCUUUGGCUUCCAAUUUGGUGAGUACUUGCAUUUAAUUUUGGAAUCACAAAUGUAUAUAAAAAAAUUA
This 541-nucleotide long non-coding RNA is filed under the name Phascolarctos cinereus (koala). RNAcentral describes it as "lncRNA (ENSPCIG00000037403.1)". The record is from RNAcentral. Lineage: Eukaryota; Metazoa; Chordata; Mammalia; Diprotodontia; Phascolarctidae.